Molecule: ribosomal RNA, 426 nt
Filed under: uncultured bacterium
Lineage: Bacteria
Description: bacterial SSU rRNA
Rfam family: Bacterial small subunit ribosomal RNA
Source: RNAcentral
AGGGAAUCUUCCGCAAUGGACGAAAGUCUGACGGAGCAACGCCGCGUGAGUGAAGAAGGCCUUCGGGUCGUAAAACUCUGUUGCCGGGGAAGAACAAGUGCCGUUCGAACAGGGCGGCGCCUUGACGGUACCCGGCCAGAAAGCCACGGCUAACUACGUGCCAGCAGCCGCGGUAAUACGUAGGUGGCAAGCGUUGUCCGGAAUUAUUGGGCGUAAAGCGCGCGCAGGCGGCUUCGUAAGUCUGAUGUGAAAUCUUGCGGCUCAACCGGGAGCGGUCAUUGGAAACUGGGAGGCUUGAGUGCAGAAGAGGAGAGUGGAAUUCCACGUGUAGCGGUGAAAUGCGUAGAGAUGUGGAGGAACACCAGUGGCGAAGGCGACUCUCUGGGCUGUAACUGACGCUGAGGCGCGAAAGCGUGGGGAGCAAAC